This 216-nucleotide ribosomal RNA is filed under the name uncultured bacterium. Its description in RNAcentral is "partial 16S ribosomal RNA". It matches the Rfam family "Bacterial small subunit ribosomal RNA", at positions 118 to 351 of the family's 1533-position model. The record is from RNAcentral.
UGGGAACGCACCCUUUGGUUCGGAACAACCCAGGGAAACUUGGGCUAAUACCGGAUAAGUCCGUAAGGAGAAAGAUUUAUCGCCAAAAGAUCGGCCCGCGUCUGAUUAGCUAGUUGGUGAGGUAACGGCUCACCAAGGCGACGAUCAGUAGCUGGUCUGAGAGGAUGAUCAGCCACAUUGGGACUGAGACACGGCCCAAACUCCUACGGGAGGCAG